UAAAGCGCACGCAGGCGGUCUGUCAAGUCGGAUGUGAAAUCCCCGGGCUCAACCUGGGAACUGCAUUCGAAACUGGCAGGCUAGAGUCUUGUAGAGGGGGGUAGAAUUCCAGGUGUAGCGGGGAAAUGCGUAGAGAUCUGGAGGAAUACCGGUGGCGAAGGCGGCCCCCUGGACAAAGACUGACGCUCAGGUGCGAAAGCGUGGGGAGCAAACAGGAUUAGAUACCCUGGUAGUCCACGCCGUAAACGAUGUCGAUUUGGAGGUUGUGCCCUUGAGGCGUGGCUUCCGGAGCUAACGCGUUAAAUCGACCGCCUGGGGAGUACGGCCGCAAGGUUAAAACUCAAAUGAAUUGACGGGGGCCCGCACAAGCGGUGGAGCAUGUGGUUUAAUUCGAUGCAACGCGAAGAACCUUACCUGGUCUUGACAUCCACAGAACUUUCCAGAGAUGGAUUGGUGCCUUCGGGAACUGUGAGACAGGUGCUGCAUGGCUGUCGUCAGCUCGUGUUGUGAAAUGUUGGGUUAAGUCCCGCAACGAGCGCAACCCUUAUCCUUUGUUGCCAGCGGUUCGGCCGGGAACUCAAAGGAGACUGCCAGUGAUAAACUGGAGGAAGGUGGGGAUGA
This 621-nucleotide ribosomal RNA is filed under the name Klebsiella pneumoniae. RNAcentral's name for it is "bacterial SSU rRNA". It matches the Rfam family "Bacterial small subunit ribosomal RNA", at positions 561 to 1182 of the family's 1533-position model. The record is from RNAcentral. Lineage: Bacteria; Pseudomonadati; Pseudomonadota; Gammaproteobacteria; Enterobacterales; Enterobacteriaceae.